CGCAGCGGUCGCGCCACGACCCGGAGCCGCCAGCACCACCUCAUGCUGCUGGGCAGCCGCGGGCCGGCGCCGCUGGGGAGGUGGCAGGGAGGCGGGCAGCCGGCGACCUCUCCUACCUCCCUGCAGGGAUGAGAUAAUCCACACCCCCAAAAGUGCGUGGGGGAGGGGGCCUGGCCCCAAUCCUCCGACCCCGCGGCCAAAGCCAAGUCUCUUUCCUCUCCCGCUCAGGCCCAAUUCCGGCCCCUGGGACCCAGGAGUCCUGAGAGAACAAUGUUGGUGGUGGGGCGCGAGGAGCGGAAAAGCGCACUGCGCGGCGUGAGCUGGCGGGCCGCAGCAUAGCAACCGAACAUGGCGGCUGCGCAGGCGCCGCCAGUCAGUGGCCAGGAGCGGCGGCGGCAGCAACAGGAGGCGAUCUCGCGAGAGGCGAGGCCAAAACCCUGCCUCGCUAGCGCAGGGAGAAGUCGCACCAGUCGGAGCGCAGAGGGACACGCAGACAUUUCAGCAGAGGCCUCAAAGGCAGAACAAAAUAGUGCAAGGAGCCGCACAUCCGCACAGUGCUGAGACCCUGCCCAGGACAAGCUUGGCCGCAGUAUUCCCUUUGGCACCCCCACCCACCUGGAACAAAGCCUGAUGUAAAGUCUGGGUGCGACUCAGACCGGCCUGGGAAAGAAUUUAUUUAAUAAAUGGUGG
This 690-nucleotide long non-coding RNA is filed under the name Homo sapiens (human). RNAcentral's name for it is "non-protein coding lnc-SCTR-2:1". Lineage: Eukaryota; Metazoa; Chordata; Mammalia; Primates; Hominidae. The record is from RNAcentral.